CAGUAGCCGCGGUAAUACGAAGGGGGCUAGCGUUGUUCGGAUUUACUGGGCGUAAAGCGCACGUAGGCGGACUUUUAAGUCAGGGGUGAAAUCCCGGGGCUCAACCCCGGAACUGCCUUUGAUACUGGAAGUCUUGAGUAUGGUAGAGGUGAGUGGAAUUCCGAGUGUAGAGGUGAAAUUCGUAGAUAUUCGGAGGAACACCAGUGGCGAAGGCGGCUCACUGGACCAUUACUGACGCUGAGGUGCGAAAGCGUGGGGAGCAAACAGGAUUAGAUACCCGUGUAGUCCCUGUCUCUUAUAC
RNAcentral lists this ribosomal RNA (301 nucleotides) under uncultured bacterium. RNAcentral's name for it is "partial 16S ribosomal RNA". It matches the Rfam family "Bacterial small subunit ribosomal RNA", at positions 509 to 807 of the family's 1533-position model. The record is from RNAcentral.